AUUGAACGCUGGCGGCAGGCCUAACACAUGCCAGUCGAACGGUAACAGAAAGCAGCUUGCUGCUUUGCUGACGAGUGGCGGACGGGUGAGUAAUGUCUGGGAAACUGCCUGAUGGAGGGGGAUAACUACUGGAAACGGUAGCUAAUACCGCAUAACGUCGCAAGACCAAAGAGGGGGACCUUCGGGCCUCUUGCCAUCGGAUGUGCCCAGAUGGGAUUAGCUAGUAGGUGGGGUAACGGCUCACCUAGGCGACGAUCCCUAGCUGGUCUGAGAGGAUGACCAGCCACACUGGAACUGAGACACGGUCCAGACUCCUACGGGAGGCAGCAGUGGGGAAUAUUGCACAAUGGGCGCAAGCCUGAUGCAGCCAUGCCGCGUGUAUGAAGAAGGCCUUCGGGUUGUAAAGUACCUUCAGCGGGGAGGAAGGGAGUAAAGUUAAUACCUUUGCUCAUUGACGUUACCCGCAGAAGAAGCACCGGCUAACUCCGUG
RNAcentral lists this ribosomal RNA (490 nucleotides) under uncultured bacterium. Its description in RNAcentral is "partial 16S ribosomal RNA". It matches the Rfam family "Bacterial small subunit ribosomal RNA", at positions 30 to 507 of the family's 1533-position model. The record is from RNAcentral.